Molecule: ribosomal RNA, 497 nt
Filed under: uncultured bacterium
Lineage: Bacteria
Description: partial 16S ribosomal RNA
Rfam family: Bacterial small subunit ribosomal RNA
Source: RNAcentral
GAUGAACGCUGGCGGCGUGCCUAAUACAUGCAAGUCGAGCGAACGGACGAGAAGCUUGCUUCUCUGAUGUUAGCGGCGGACGGGUGAGUAACACGUGGAUAACCUACCUAUAAGACUGGGAUAACUUCGGGAAACCGGAGCUAAUACCGGAUAAUAUUUUGAACCGCAUGGUUCAAAAGUGAAAGGCGGUCUUGCUGUCACUUAUAGAUAGAUCCGCGCUGCAUUAGCUAGUUGGUAAGGUAACGGCUUACCAAGGCAACGAUGCAUAGCCGACCUGAGAGGGUGAUCGGCCACACUGGAACUGAGACACGGUCCAGACUCCUACGGGAGGCAGCAGUAGGGAAUCUUCCGCAAUGGGCGAAAGCCUGACGGAGCAACGCCGCGUGAGUGAUGAAGGUCUUCGGAUCGUAAAACUCUGUUAUUAGGGAAGAACAUAUGUGUAAGUAACUGUGCACAUCUUGACGGUACCUAAUCAGAAAGCCACGGCUAACUACGUG